GUAGUUUUAUAGCAGUUGUAGAUUUGUAGCCUAAUGGUUGUAAUGGUAAUGGUGUAAUUAGUUUUUGAUACGUUCCAUAGCAUGGUCUCGGUGUCCAAAUUCUGUCUCUGGUUUGUGUCACGAUGUACUGGACCAGAACUGUUUUCUGUUCUUGGAAUGUGUUGUCUUGAGCAUUCCUAAUAACCCCUCCUUUCGCCCUCGCUCUCUCUGGGUUCUUCUUCUCCUUUGCCUCUGGUAGAAUAGACGUCUUUAGUUCUUAUAUCACUCAAACCUACAUAAUAGAUGUUCUGAUUUUAUCUGUGAACCGUUCCAUUCUUUAUCAAUAUUUCCGGUGUAUAUAUAUAUACCAUGUUUCCUGAAUAUUAAAACCAAGGAGCUUUCACUGACCGAUGGUAUCGGCGGGACUUCUUCCUGCGCCCAGACGAGAGGGAAAUCAGCCAGAGCAGGGUUCAAAUUGUGGUUCUGACUCGUAUCGGACAAGAACUUAACAGUUUUAUAAUAAUUGUUGUGAUUGUAGUGUUAUAAUAGUUGUAGAGUGUAAAUGUUGUAGCGCUUUAACAGGGGUAGAAUGUAACGGUUGUAGUGUGGAUGUAGUGCUGUAAUGGGGUAGAAUAUACCGGUUGUAGUGUGUAUGUAGUGCUGUAACAGGGGUAGAAUGUACCGGUUGUAGUGUGUAUGUAGUGCUGUAACAGGUGUAGAAUGUAACGGUUGUAGUGUGUAUGUAGUGCUGUAACAGGUGUAGAAUGUAAUGGUUGUAGUGUGUAUGUAGUGCUGUAACAGGGGUAGAAUGUAAUGGUUGUAGUGUGUAUGUAGUGCUGUAACAGGGGUAGAAUGUAACGGUUGUAGUG
Long non-coding RNA from Ictalurus punctatus (channel catfish), 848 nucleotides. The record is from Ensembl. Lineage: Eukaryota; Metazoa; Chordata; Actinopteri; Siluriformes; Ictaluridae.